RNAcentral lists this ribosomal RNA (886 nucleotides) under uncultured Streptococcus sp. RNAcentral's name for it is "bacterial SSU rRNA". It matches the Rfam family "Bacterial small subunit ribosomal RNA", at positions 28 to 839 of the family's 1533-position model. The record is from RNAcentral. Lineage: Bacteria; Bacillati; Bacillota; Bacilli; Lactobacillales; Streptococcaceae.
GACGAACGCUGGCGGCGUGCCUAAUACAUGCAAGUAGAACGCUGAAGAGAGGAGCUUGCUCUUCUUGGAUGAGUUGCGAACGGGUGAGUAACGCGUAGGUAACCUGCCUUGUAGCGGGGGAUAACUAUUGGAAACGAUAGCUAAUACCGCAUAACAAUGGAUGACACAUGUCAUUUAUUUGAAAGGGGCAAUUGCUCCACUACAAGAUGGACCUGCGUUGUAUUAGCUAGUAGGUGAGGUAACGGCUCACCUAGGCGACGAUACAUAGCCGACCUGAGAGGGUGAUCGGCCACACUGGGACUGAGACACGGCCCAGACUCCUACGGGAGGCAGCAGUAGGGAAUCUUCGGCAAUGGGGGCAACCCUGACCGAGCAACGCCGCGUGAGUGAAGAAGGUUUUCGGAUCGUAAAGCUCUGUUGUAAGUCAAGAACGAGUGUGAGAGUGGAAAGUUCACACUGUGACGGUAGCUUACCAGAAAGGGACGGCUAACUACGUGCCAGCAGCCGCGGUAAUACGUAGGUCCCGAGCGUUGUCCGGAUUUAUUGGGCGUAAAGCGAGCGCAGGCGGUUUGAUAAGUCUGAAGUUAAAGGCUGUGGCUCAACCAUAGUUCGCUUUGGAACUGUCAAACUUGAGUGCAGAAGGGGAGAGUGGAAUUCCAUGUGUAGCGGUGAAAUGCGUAGAUAUAUGGAAGGAACAACGGUGGCGAAAGCGGCUCUCUGGUCUGUAACUGACGCUGAAGACUCGAAGGCGUGGGGAGCGAAAAAAAUUAAUUCCCUAGAAUCCCAAAGACGAAUUCACAUGGAUAUCAGCUUAUCGAUACCGCCACCUCCAGGGGGGCGCGGGACCCCGCUGUUGUUCCUGUUGUGCGAGAAGUGACUGAUUCAC